CCACUUCCCGCCUUCUUAUACUUCCUGUCGCCGUUUCAUAGAGGCUCAUAGAGCUUUGACUAUUAAUUACAAGAGUAUCCUCUCCGUCGCUCCGUUUUCUCUAAAUCCCUUCUUUUGCUCAAUUAUUAUUACGGUAACAUAUGUUGUUACGCAUU
Molecule: non-coding RNA, 155 nt
Organism: Caenorhabditis elegans
Lineage: Eukaryota; Metazoa; Nematoda; Chromadorea; Rhabditida; Rhabditidae
Source: Ensembl